Molecule: ribosomal RNA, 450 nt
Filed under: uncultured bacterium
Lineage: Bacteria
Description: partial 16S ribosomal RNA
Rfam family: Bacterial small subunit ribosomal RNA
Source: RNAcentral
GUGGGGAAUAUUGGACAAUGGGCGAAAGCCUGAUCCAGCCAUGCCGCGUGUGUGAAGAAGGUCUUCGGAUUGUAAAGCACUUUAAGUUGGGAGGAAGGGCAGUAAGUUAAUACCUUGCUGUUUUGACGUUACCGACAGAAUAAGCACCGGCUAACUUCGUGCCAGCAGCCGCGGUAAUACGAAGGGUGCAAGCGUUAAUCGGAAUUACUGGGCGUAAAGCGCGCGUAGGUGGUUUUGUAAGUUGGAGGUGAAAUCCCCGGUCUCAACCUGGGAACUGCCUCCAAAACUGCAUGACUAGAGUACGGUAGAGGGUAGUGGAAUUUCCUGUGUAGCGGUGAAAUGCGUAGAUAUAGGAAGGAACACCAGUGGCGAAGGCGACUACCUGGACUGAUACUGACACUGAGGUGCGAAAGCGUGGGGAGCAAACAGGAUUAGAAACCCUUGUAGUCC